This 251-nucleotide ribosomal RNA is filed under the name uncultured prokaryote. Its description in RNAcentral is "partial 16S rRNA". It matches the Rfam family "Bacterial small subunit ribosomal RNA", at positions 525 to 822 of the family's 1533-position model. The record is from RNAcentral.
ACGGAGGGUGCAAGCGUUAAUCGGAAUUACUGGGCGUAAAGCGCACGCAGGCGGUUUAUUAAGUCAGAUGUGAAAUCCCCGGGCUCAACCUGGGAACUGCAUCUGAUACUGGCAAGCUUGAGUCUCGUAGAGGGGGGUAGAAUUCCAGGUGGGGCGCCCCCAGGACGAAGGAUGACGAGCAGGAGCGGAGGCGAGGGGAGCAAACAGGACGAGAACCCCAGGUCGUCUGCCAAAUCGUCUCUUACACACAG